This 372-nucleotide ribosomal RNA is filed under the name uncultured organism. RNAcentral describes it as "bacterial SSU rRNA". It matches the Rfam family "Bacterial small subunit ribosomal RNA", at positions 526 to 896 of the family's 1533-position model. The record is from RNAcentral.
CGUAGGUGGCGAGCGUUGUCCGGAAUUACUGGGUGUAAAGGGCGUGUAGGCGGGACUGUAAGUCAGAUGUGAAAUUCCAGGGCUUAACUCUGGAGCUGCAUCUGAAACUAUGGUUCUUGAGUGCUGGAGAGGAAAGCGGAAUUCCUAGUGUAGCGGUGAAAUGCGUAGAUAUUAGGAGGAACACCAGUGGCGAAGGCGGCUUUCUGGACAGUAACUGACGCUGAGGCGCGAAAGCGUGGGGAGCAAACAGGAUUAGAUACCCUGGUAGUCCACGCUGUAAACGAUGGAUACUAGGUGUAGGAGGUAUCGACCCCUUCUGUGCCGCAGUUAACACAAUAAGUAUCCCACCUGGGGAGUACGGCCGCAAGGUUG